GGACUACUGGGGUUUCUAAUCCUGUUUGAUCCCCACGCUUUCGUGUUUGAGUGUCAGUAUAGGACCAGGUCGCCGCCUUCGCCACCGGUGUUCCUCCUGAUAUCUACGUAUUUCACCACUACACCAGGAAUUCCACGACCCUCUUCCAUACUCAAGCUUUGUAGUUUUGAAUGCACUUCUUGGGUUAAGCCCAAGGCUUUCACAUCCAACUUUCAAAGCCACCUGCACACGCUUUACGCCCAAUGAUUCCGAACAACGCUAGGACCCCCCGUCUUACCGCGGCUGCUGGCAC
RNAcentral lists this ribosomal RNA (292 nucleotides) under uncultured bacterium. Its description in RNAcentral is "partial 16S ribosomal RNA". The record is from RNAcentral.